GAGAGCAUGGGCCGGGAAUGGAAAUACCGGUGCAAGCGAAGGAGGUGUGCAGCCGGCAAAUCCGCUGCAUGAGCCGAAAGCGUGGCGCGGAGCGAAAUGAAAGUAGCGAAGCAUGUGAGCCCUGUGCCGAGAAAAGCCGCUAUAGCUUUAUAUGUGCCCGUACCGUAAACCGACACAGGUGGAUGAGGAGAGAAUCCUAAGGCCGGCGGAAGAAGUAUUGUUAAGGAACUCGGCAAAAUGACCCCGUAACUUCGGGAGAAGGGGUGCCCACGGGAGUGGGCCGCAGAGAAUAGGCUCAAGCAACUGUUUAGCAAAAACACAGGUCUAUGCGAAACCGAAAGGUGAAGUAUAUGGGCUGACGCCUGCCCGGUGCUGGAAGGUUAAGAGGAGAGGUCAGCGCAAGCGAAGCUUUGAAUUUAAGCCCCAGUAAACGGCGGCCGUAACAAUAACGGUCCUAAGGUAGCGAAAUUCCUUGUCGGGUAAGUUCCGACCCGCACGAAAGGCGUAAUGAUUUGAGCACUGUCUCGACAAUACAUCCGGUGAAAUUGAAGUACCAGUGAAGAUGCUGGUUACCCGCGCCAGGACGGAAAGACCCCAUAGAGCUUUACUCCAGUUUGGUACUGGGAUUCGGUACUGCACGUACAGGAUAAGUGGGAGACUGAGAAACUUGAACGCCAGUUUGAGUGGAGUCGCUGUUGGGAUACCACCCCUGCAGUAUUGGAUUUCUAACCAGUCACCGUGACCCGGUGAUGGGACAAUGCCAGGCGGGGAGUUUGACUGGGGCGGUCGCCUCCGAAAGGGUAUCGGAGGCGCUCAAAGGUUCCCUCAGAAUGGUCGGAAACCAUUUGAAGAGUGCAAAGGCAGAAGGGAGCUUGACUGCGACACCGACGGGUGGAGCAGGUAGGAAACUAGGACUUAGUGAUCCGGUGGCAUAAAGUGGGAUUGCCAUCGCUCAACGGAUAAAAGCUACCCUGGGAUAACAGGCUUAUCACUCCCAAGAGUUCACAUCGACGGAGUGGUUUGGCACCUCGAUGUCGGCUCAUCGCAUCCUGGGGCUGUAGCAGGUCCCAAGGGUUGGGCUGUUCGCCCAUUAAAGCGGUACGCGAGCUGGGUUCAGAACGUCGUGAGACAGUUCGGUCCCUAUCCGGCGCGGGCGGAGGAUAUUUGAGAGGAGCUGUCCUUAGUACGAGAGGACCGGGAUGGACGGACCACUGGUGUAUCUGCUGUCGGCCAACGGCAUGGCAGAGUAGCCAAGUCCGGAAGGGAUAAACGCUGAAGGCAUCUAAGCGUGAAGCCCCCCUCAAGAUGAGAUAUCCCUCACAUAAGUGAGUAAGAUCCCUUGAAGACUACAAGGUAGAUAGGGCAGAGGUGGAAGUGUGGCAACACAUGGAGCUGACUGUUACUAAUCGAUCGAGGGCUUGACC
RNAcentral lists this ribosomal RNA (1424 nucleotides) under metagenome. RNAcentral describes it as "bacterial LSU rRNA". It matches the Rfam family "Bacterial large subunit ribosomal RNA", at positions 1481 to 2925 of the family's 2925-position model. The record is from RNAcentral.